RNAcentral lists this transfer RNA (463 nucleotides) under Pseudomonas aeruginosa. RNAcentral describes it as "partial 16S-23S ribosomal RNA intergenic spacer". The stretch from base 64 to 137 matches the Rfam family "tRNA". Lineage: Bacteria; Pseudomonadati; Pseudomonadota; Gammaproteobacteria; Pseudomonadales; Pseudomonadaceae. The record is from RNAcentral.
UCGAGAUCCCAGGCUUCUUCAUAAGCUCCCACACGAAUUGCUUGAUUCACUGGUUAGACGAUUGGGUCUGUAGCUCAGUUGGUUAGAGCGCACCCCUGAUAAGGGUGAGGUCGGCAGUUCGAAUCUGCCCAGACCCACCAAUUGUUGGUGUGCUGCGUGAUCCGAUACGGGGCCAUAGCUCAGCUGGGAGAGCGCCUGCUUUGCACGCAGGAGGUCAGGAGUUCGAUCCUCCUUGGCUCCACCAUCUAAACAAUCGUCGAAAGCUCAGAAAUGAAUGUUCGUGAAUGAACAUUGAUUUCUGGUCUUUGCACCAGAACUGUUCUUUAAAAAUUCGGGUAUGUGAUAGAAGUAAGACUGAAUGAUCUCUUUCACUGGUGAUCAUUCAAGUCAAGGUAAAAUUUGCGAGUUCAAGCGCGAAUUUUCGGCGAAUGUCGUCUUCACAGUAUAACCAGAUUGCUUGGGG